GGAUGCCAACUAUGAUUUUGACUAUUUAUGAGACAUGGGAGAACACUAUGGCCUACAUGUAUAUAAAUCGUAAAAUUAAGUACGUAAAAUUUCUCCUCGACGGUAUGCUACCUUGUGCACCAAAACCCGAUAACACUUCAGGAUUACGAGUCUCCAUUCUCCACUUUGUUCAAACUUCAGAUGUAUCAUCAGCAUGCAAUCUAUUACUUAGAUAUACCAAAGAUAAUUCCAAAGCGGCUGCUUCUCCUCAAACAUUAAUGAAUCUAGAAUAGCAGGCAUGCAAUCUAUUACUUAGAUAUACCAAAGAUAAUUCCAAAGUGGCUGCUUCUCCUCAAACAUUAAUGAAUCUAGAAUAGCAGGGCGUAUCCAGACAGGUUUUACAUUUGGACGGGUUCUCGUUUCAGAAGGAACUCCUUGCCAUCCGUAUGUGGAAGUGUUGAAGGAAACCCAAAGUCUGCCAAGUAACAAAAAACAGAAUAGGAUAAUACUGACAUAACAUGUUAAGAAACAGAAGCUCAAAAAUAGCAGGUCAGUAACAAGACGAUUUUAUCAAAGAUGAGUAUGAAAUCACUUACCAAGCAAUCCUAUCGUCGAGUUUUAGAAACAUAUCCAUUUCCUGCAAUAGAGGUUACUAAUCG
Molecule: long non-coding RNA, 638 nt
Filed under: Nicotiana tabacum (common tobacco)
Lineage: Eukaryota; Viridiplantae; Streptophyta; Magnoliopsida; Solanales; Solanaceae
Description: long non-coding RNA (NTAB_LNC004578)
Source: RNAcentral